RNAcentral lists this ribosomal RNA (301 nucleotides) under uncultured bacterium. RNAcentral describes it as "partial 16S ribosomal RNA". It matches the Rfam family "Bacterial small subunit ribosomal RNA", at positions 509 to 807 of the family's 1533-position model. The record is from RNAcentral.
CAGUAGCCGCGGUAAUACAGAGGGUGCGAGCGUUAAUCGGAUUUACUGUGCGUAAAGCGUGCGUAGGCGGCUUCUUAAGUCGGAUGUGAAAUCCCUGAGCUUAACUUAGGAAUUGCAUUCGAUACUGGGAAGCUAGAGUAUGGGAGAGGAUGGUAGAAUUCCAGGUGUAGCGGUGAAAUGCGUAGAGAUCUGGAGGAAUACCGAUGGCGAAGGCAGCCAUCUGGCCUAAUACUGACGCUGAGGUACGAAAGCAUGGGGAGCAAACAGGAUUAGAUACCCCAGUAGUCCCUGUCUCUUAUAC